GACGAACGCUGGCGGCGUGCCUAAUACAUGCAGGUAGAACGCUGAAGGAGGAGCUUGCUUCUCUGGAUGAGUUGCGAACGGGUGAGUAACGCGUAGGUAACCUGCCUGGUAGCGGGGGAUAACUAUUGGAAACGAUAGCUAAUACCGCAUAAGAGUAGAUGUUGCAUGACAUUUGCUUAAAAGGUGCAAUUGCAUCACUACCAGAUGGACCUGCGUUGUAUUAGCUAGUUGGUGGGGUAACGGCUCACCAAGGCGACGAUACAUAGCCGACCUGAGAGGGUGAUCGGCCACACUGGGACUGAGACACGGCCCAGACUCCUACGGGAGGCAGCAGUAGGGAAUCUUCGGCAAUGGACGGAAGUCUGACCGAGCAACGCCGCGUGAGUGAAGAAGGUUUUCGGAUCGUAAAGCUCGGUUGUAAGAGAAGAACGAGUGUGAGAGUGGAAAGUUCACACUGUGACGGUAUCUUACCAGAAAGGGACGGCUAACUACGUG
RNAcentral lists this ribosomal RNA (495 nucleotides) under uncultured bacterium. RNAcentral describes it as "partial 16S ribosomal RNA". It matches the Rfam family "Bacterial small subunit ribosomal RNA", at positions 28 to 507 of the family's 1533-position model. The record is from RNAcentral.